RNAcentral lists this long non-coding RNA (309 nucleotides) under Arachis ipaensis. Its description in RNAcentral is "long non-coding RNA (AIPA_LNC000732)". The record is from RNAcentral. Lineage: Eukaryota; Viridiplantae; Streptophyta; Magnoliopsida; Fabales; Fabaceae.
CUGGUGGUGGUGGUGGUGGUGUUGGUGGAAGGCUGGAAACAUGUGGCGGCGGAGUAGGGACGGUGGUGGGUCCAGAGGCCGAAGAGGUAGAAGAGGGAGCAGAGGACGAUGGAGAAAGUGAUGAAGUAAAAAUUGGUGAAUGGUAAUAAGGUCUUAUUGUAUUGUCUUUUGGAAGUGAAGUUGUGGAAUAAGCUUUUGAAGUUAUUAGUAUUGUUGGCCAUUUUUGUUCUAUGCUUUUCUUCACUAACACUAGUUCACUUCUACUACAGUUCUACUAGUCUACUAGAGAGAGAGAGAGAGAGAGAGAGA